CCCUCAGUUUCUCUCCGCCUCCCUCUCACUUUCUCUCUCUUCUCUCUCGUUCUUUCCCCCUCUCACCCGAGCUCUUCCCCUCCCUCGGCUUCGACCUUCGAUCUCCCUCAUCCGAGGGAGGUGUUCCUCACCGCCGGCUCCAUGGCACUCAGCAGCUCGACGCGACGUCCCACCGAUCAUGGCACAAGCUCCAGCGUCGCCGCGAAGAUCAUCGAACCACACCGAGCCCAGCAACAACAGGUUCCAGUUCUCCGCCGUUCGAGCAGCCCUCCGCCGACGCAAGCACACGAUCCACACCUCUCUCUUCCCUCCGACGCCGUAGAUGAGCUACCACUAUGCAACUCGAGCCGAGGCAAGUCACCCUUGAAGGAUCGAGCUCCACCGACGAUCCAUCCAUCUCCGACGAGUUCCAAGAGCCCCACUAUACGAUCUAGGUGAUCGUUAAAUCGAGGAAAGGAAUUAGCAUCGCGAAUUGUGGAAUUACGCUCAAGUCAAUAAGGGGAUACUUCCACAGGUGCUGAGUAGUGGUGAUCGGGUGACGACUCCGAAGACUCGAAGUCGAUUGCAUUCAGUUGUGGUGAGGUUCCAGCGCGCAUUGUGUGUGAGAUUUGUUGUGAUUUUAUUUGUGAGGUUGUUGUGAGGAUUAUACAAUUCCAUUUGUUAUAUGUUGAAUUAUCAUUUGGUUUGUAAUAAUCGGCUUGACUGAGUUAUGUUUUAAACUCAGAGGUGAUCCGCUGUGACAUUAAAAUGAUUUCAUUUUCAGUGAGAUUGUUUUUGGUGU
Molecule: long non-coding RNA, 781 nt
Organism: Argentina anserina (silverweed cinquefoil)
Lineage: Eukaryota; Viridiplantae; Streptophyta; Magnoliopsida; Rosales; Rosaceae
Exons: 3
Source: RefSeq, a predicted model, not a curated record